GCCAGACUCCUACGGGAGGCAGCAGUGGGGAAUAUUGCACAAUGGGGGAAACCCUGAUGCAGCGACGCCGCGUGAGCGAUGAAGUAUUUCGGUAUGUAAAGCUCUAUCAGCAGGGAAGAAAAUGACGGUACCUGACUAAGAAGCCCCGGCUAACUACGUGCCAGCAGCCGCGGUAAUACGUAGGGGGCAAGCGUUAUCCGGAUUUACUGGGUGUAAAGGGUGCGUAGGUGGCAGGGCAAGUCAGAUGUGAAAGCCCGGGGCCCAACCCCGGUACUGCAUUUGAAACUGUCCGGCUGGAGUGCGGGAGAGGUAAGCGGAAUUCCUAGUGUAGCGGUGAAAUGCGUAGAUAUUAGGAGGAACACCAGUGGCGAAGGCGGCUUACUGGACUGUAACUGACGUUGAGGCUCGAAAGCGUGGGGAGCAAACAGGAUUAGAUACCCGUGUACU
Molecule: ribosomal RNA, 447 nt
Filed under: uncultured bacterium
Lineage: Bacteria
Description: bacterial SSU rRNA
Rfam family: Bacterial small subunit ribosomal RNA
Source: RNAcentral